GGAUCGGUGGACAUGACCACCUUCCAUUCCGUCGAAGGUAACGACCUCCAUUCGACCGCGCUGGAGGCGUCACCAGUGAAGCCGCCGAUCCACGCCGACUACAUAACAAACGUCAACAAUCACACGCCGUACUUCUGCCGCCAGAAGAUUGUGGACUUCUGAUAUCUAGACGAGCUCCAAACAAGCAGCGGAAAGGAGCCAUCAUCGAUGUCCAAACUGGAUACUGCUACAUAAGGAACAGUGCGCGAAGCAAGUCUAUUAUAUGUGUAUAUAAUAGAAGGUUCGAGUUUUUCGGAUGAUGUGACCAAAACAGAUACGGAAGUGCGCAUCCUGAGCUACUGGAAUUUCACCAAGACCCACAUCGUGCUACGCUUUCAGUAAUAUGGUGCUUUUGCGACGACCGAGCAUCUCUGGUUGCACGGACCUUUUACCUCAAGUGCCUUCUCCUAAAGCGAUUCCGGCAACAAAAGAAGUUCUUUGUUCGAGAAUGAUAAUAGUGGGCAUCGAAGCCAGUGCUUUACACGCUCAACUCCGCAUACGUGACCAGUGUGACCCAGGAGACAACGGUUGAGGGCCGUUCUCGCAACGCUAUCAUGGACGCUAUCAUACACAAGCAAUUUCGAAAAAUUCCGGUCGGCUACUCAGCACGGUCGUUCGAGAACAUUUUUGGAGCACAAGAAGCUGCAUUUCCUGUUUCAUUUUUCAGGGCAAGAAAACCCAACAAAGGCACAGCUGAUGCCGUGCUUGCGAUGAGGAGAUAGCAAGGACAUCACCUUAGUUCCCGACGCUAUGCCGGGACAUCACCGAUGAUUCCUGUUUAGACACGAUUCUGCGGAAACUUACCCGUUGAGAAGAGCCGCGGUGAAGAAGGAACAUGGCGUAAGGCUUUUGUGAAACUAAGACUCAAUGAUGACAGCAGGUGAUUAAAGAAGUUACAACAGUGUGUACAGCCAAACAAAACAAGAAAAGAGCUGAUUUACGUGCUUCCAGUGUCGAGAAUACGCAAUGUAGACACUUUUUUGCGCGUAUGAAGAGCAUGUGCAAGCAGCGCGAGAAGGCAAAUAUUAAUAACAGAAAACUUUGAAACCGCAGGCACGCACGUGAAGUACACGUUCGGUGGCUCUGGCCGUCGCUUUCGCUUUAGUGUCGUCAGUCUGCUAUUGCGAGACCAACACAUAUUGUGGAGGCUGCAAUUUGGAGUUUCCUAAGGCAAUUAAUUUGCCGAGCUUCAUCGUCUACACAUUGUAGAGGCGUCUUCUACAUCGUCUUUGUUUGCCGCUUGGACGCAAAGAACCCCGACCCAACGUAUCGGCGAACGCCAUGAGACCUACAAAAAAGAAACUAUGUCAACCAGGAACGUGCUACUCGAACAGUCAACUGCGUGCGUGUGCUUGUGUGGUUGGGGCCAUGUGAAAACUACCUUUAUUGUCACGGUUACCGUCACUUGUUUGUGCAUUGUGUGUUCAUGUGCAUAUAUUGGUGUCAGCUGCAUGCCCUGUCCACUUAAAGAGACCGCGGAUUUCUUCAAAUCAGGUUCAAACUACUUCAUUUACAAUAUUACGCUGAAUCAAGAAUUCGAGUUCAUGAACUUAUUGUCGUCAGGCACGUUCGAGGAUUAAUCUCAGCGUCAAGAGGAGGGCGAGGUGCAUUUAUCUGCUGUGGACUUACACGAAGAUUGCUUCGGCUCAUCAGUUCAAAAUGUAAAUAGAGUAUAUAAAUACUGUUC
Molecule: long non-coding RNA, 1726 nt
Organism: Dermacentor silvarum
Lineage: Eukaryota; Metazoa; Arthropoda; Arachnida; Ixodida; Ixodidae
Exons: 3
Source: RefSeq, a predicted model, not a curated record